GCCUCGGUGGUGUAGUGGUAAAGAUAAUCGCCUGGUAAACAGGAGGGCGUGGGUUCAAUCCCAGCCGAGGUA
This 72-nucleotide transfer RNA is filed under the name Diaphorina citri (Asian citrus psyllid). It matches the Rfam family "tRNA". Rfam says of the family: Transfer RNA (tRNA) molecules are approximately 80 nucleotides in length. Their secondary structure includes four short double-helical elements and three loops (D, anti-codon, and T loops). Further hydrogen bonds mediate the characteristic L-shaped molecular structure. tRNAs have two regions of fundamental functional importance: the anti-codon, which is responsible for specific mRNA codon recognition, and the 3' end, to which the tRNAs corresponding amino acid is attached (by aminoacyl-tRNA synthetases). tRNAs cope with the degeneracy of the genetic code in two manners: having more than one tRNA (with a specific anti-codon) for a particular amino acid; and 'wobble' base-pairing, i.e. permitting non-standard base-pairing at the 3rd anti-codon position. Lineage: Eukaryota; Metazoa; Arthropoda; Insecta; Hemiptera; Psyllidae. The record is from Rfam by way of RNAcentral.